GAUGAAGAACGUAGCGAAAUGCGAUAAGUAGUGUGAAUUGCAGAAUUCAGUGAAUCAUCGAAUCUUUGAACGCACAUCGCGCCCCUUGGUAUCCCGAGGGGCAUGCCUGUUCGAGCGUCAUUUCACCACUCAAGCCUGGCUUGGUGUUGGGCGACGUCCCCUUUAGGGACGCGCCUCGAAACGCUCGGCGGCGUGGCACCGGCUUUAAGCGUAGCAGAAUCUUUCGCUUUGGAAGUCGGGGCCCCGCCUGCCGGAAUACCUACUCGUAAGGUUGACCUCGGAUCAGGCAGGGAUACCCGCUGAACUUAAGCAUAUCAAUAAGCGGAGGA
RNAcentral lists this unclassified non-coding RNA (329 nucleotides) under soil metagenome. RNAcentral's name for it is "partial contains 5.8S ribosomal RNA, internal transcribed spacer 2, and large subunit ribosomal RNA". The stretch from base 1 to 120 matches the Rfam family "5.8S ribosomal RNA", at positions 35 to 154 of the family's 154-position model. The record is from RNAcentral.